GAUGAACGCUAGCUACAGGCUUAACACAUGCAAGUCGAGGGGUAACGAGAGGAAAGCUUGCUUUCCUUGUCGACGACCGGCGCACGGGUGAGUAACGCGUAUCCAACCUGCCCCCAACUAGGGAAUAACCUUGCGAAAGUAAGACUAAUACCCUAUAAUUUCCUCAGAUGCCAUCUGACGAGGAAUAAAGAUUUAUCGGUUGUGGAUGGGGAUGCGUCUGAUUAGCUUGUUGGCGGGGUAACGGCCCGCCAAGGCAACGAUCAGUAGGGGUUCUGAGAGGAGGGUCCCCCACAUUGGAACUGAGACACGGUCCAAACUCCUACGGGAGGCAGCAGUGAGGAAUAUUGGUCAAUGGGCGGAAGCCUGAACCAGCCAAGUAGCGUGCAGGAUGACGGCCCUAUGGGUUGUAAACUGCUUUUAUACAGGAAUAAAGUUAGCCACGUGUGGUUAUUUGUAGGUACUGUAUGAAUAAGGACCGGCUAAUUCCGUGCCAGCCGCCGCGGUAA
RNAcentral lists this ribosomal RNA (506 nucleotides) under uncultured bacterium. RNAcentral describes it as "partial 16S ribosomal RNA". It matches the Rfam family "Bacterial small subunit ribosomal RNA", at positions 28 to 523 of the family's 1533-position model. The record is from RNAcentral.